AUGCCGAGGAUGCGAGCGUUAUCCGGCUUGAUUGGGCUUACAGCGUCUGUUGGUGGCUUAGGAUGUCUCCUGUGAAAGAUCAGGGCUUGACCCUGGCCCGGCACGAAACACUCUUACGCUAGAUUUUGCUAUGGGCCUAGGGAAUUCCCGGUGGAGCCGUAAUAUGGCUAGAGAUCGUGAAGAACUCCAAUGGCAAAUGCACUCUCCUGGGCCAUAGCUGACUCUUACACACAAAUGCAAGCUGAGCAAAAGGGAUUAGAUACCCCUGAUAGUCCUCACCUACCCCGAUGGACCCUACCUGUUGCGAAGGUUAAAUCACUCACUAUCUUCACUGACUCUUGAUGAACCCCGCCUGGAGAUUAUCCUCCCGAGAAUGACACUCACAUGAAUUGACCGCAAAUGAAUUGACGG
Molecule: ribosomal RNA, 411 nt
Filed under: uncultured eukaryote
Lineage: Eukaryota
Description: bacterial SSU rRNA
Rfam family: Bacterial small subunit ribosomal RNA
Source: RNAcentral